RNAcentral lists this ribosomal RNA (291 nucleotides) under uncultured bacterium. RNAcentral's name for it is "partial 16S ribosomal RNA". It matches the Rfam family "Bacterial small subunit ribosomal RNA", at positions 399 to 691 of the family's 1533-position model. The record is from RNAcentral.
GCGUGGGUGAUGAAGCUCUGAGGAGUGUAAAGCCCUGUUAGGAGGGAAGAAAAUCCGGUUUCCCGGAAAUGACGGUACCUCCAGAGAAAGCUCCGGCUAACUCCGUGCCAGCAGCCGCGGUAACACGGGGGGAGCAAGCGUUGUCCGGAUUUACUGGGCGUAAAGCGCGUGUAGGCGGGAAGGUUAGUCAGUGGUGAAAUCUUGCGGCUUAACCGUAAAUGUGCUGCUGAUACUGCCUUUCUUGAGUACGGAAGAGGGAAGUGGAAUUCCUGGUGUAGCGGUGAAAUGCGU